CCUACGGGAGGCUGCAGUGAGGAAUAUUGGUCAAUGGGCGCGAGCCUGAACCAGCCAAGUAGCGUGAAGGAUGACUGCCCUACGGGUCGUAAACUUCUUUUAUAAAGGAAUAAAGUGAGGCACGGGUGCCUUUUUGAAUGUACUUUAUGAAUAAGGAUCGGCUUACUCCGUGCCAGCAGCCGCGGUAAUACGGAGGAGCCGAGCGUUAUCCGGAUUUAUUGGGGUUAAAGGGAGCGUAGAUGGGUGUUUAAGUCAGUGGUUAAAGUUUGCGGCUCAACCCUAAAAUUGCAAUUGAUACUGGCAGUCUUGAGUACAGUUGAGGUAGGCGGAAUUCGUGGUGUAGCGGUGAAAUGCUUAGAUAGCACGCAGAACUCCGAUUGCGAAGGCAGCUUACUAAACUGCCACUGACAUUGAUACUCGAAAGUGUGGGUAUCAAACAGGAUUAGAUACCCCAGUAGUC
This 460-nucleotide ribosomal RNA is filed under the name uncultured bacterium. RNAcentral's name for it is "partial 16S ribosomal RNA". It matches the Rfam family "Bacterial small subunit ribosomal RNA", at positions 338 to 795 of the family's 1533-position model. The record is from RNAcentral.